GGCCACUUGGUCUAGUGGUAUGAUUCAUCCUUAGGGUGGAUGAGGUCGCGAGUUCGAUUCUCGCAGUGGCCC
Gracilariopsis chorda is the source of this 72-nucleotide non-coding RNA. Lineage: Eukaryota; Rhodophyta; Florideophyceae; Gracilariales; Gracilariaceae. The record is from the annotation of a GenBank genome assembly.